Molecule: ribosomal RNA, 434 nt
Filed under: uncultured bacterium
Lineage: Bacteria
Description: bacterial SSU rRNA
Rfam family: Bacterial small subunit ribosomal RNA
Source: RNAcentral
AACGCGAAGAACCUUACCUGGUCUUGACAUCCACAGAACUUUCCAGAGAUGGAUUGGUGCCUUCGGGAACUGUGAGACAGGUGCUGCAUGGCUGUCGUCAGCUCGUGUUGUGAAAUGUUGGGUUAAGUCCCGCAACGAGCGCAACCCUUAUCCUUUGUUGCCAGCGGUCCGGCCGGGAACUCAAAGGAGACUGCCAGUGAUAAACUGGAGGAAGGUGGGGAUGACGUCAAGUCAUCAUGGCCCUUACGACCAGGGCUACACACGUGCUACAAUGGCAUAUACAAAGAGAAGCGGCCUCGCGAGAGCAAGCGGACCUCAUAAAGUAUGUCGUAGUCCGGAUUGGAGUCUGCAACUCGACUCCAUGAAGUCGGAAUCGCUAGUAAUCGUAGAUCAGAAUGCUACGGUGAAUACGUUCCCGGGUCUUGUACACACCG